RNAcentral lists this ribosomal RNA (254 nucleotides) under uncultured bacterium. RNAcentral describes it as "partial 16S ribosomal RNA". It matches the Rfam family "Bacterial small subunit ribosomal RNA", at positions 524 to 776 of the family's 1533-position model. The record is from RNAcentral.
UACGAAGGGUGCAAACGUUGCUCGGAAUCACUGGGCGUAAAGCGCACGUAGGCGGAUAUUUAAGUCGGUGGUGAAAUCCUGGAGCUCAACUCCAGAACUGCCUCCGAUACUGAAUGUCUCCGAGUCCGGGAGAGGCGAGUGGAACUGCGAGUGUAGAGGUGAAAUUCGUAGAUAUUCGCAAGAACACCAGUGGCGAAGGCGGCUCACUGGCCCGGUACUGACGCUGAGGUGCGAAAGCGUGGGGAGCAAACAGG